This 610-nucleotide transfer RNA is filed under the name uncultured Prochlorococcus sp. Its description in RNAcentral is "partial contains 16S ribosomal RNA, 16S-23S ribosomal RNA intergenic spacer, and 23S ribosomal RNA". The stretch from base 221 to 293 matches the Rfam family "tRNA". Lineage: Bacteria; Bacillati; Cyanobacteriota; Cyanophyceae; Synechococcales; Prochlorococcaceae. The record is from RNAcentral.
UGGAUCACCUCCUAACAGGGAGACAACAAAAUGUUUUGAUAUAAAUUUUGUCACCUUAGGUCGAUCGGUACCUCUGAUUUUCAUGAUUGAAAAUUUCGGUUUCUAAGUUUUUUCUAGGUCACCCAUUUUUUCCUGGGCCAUUAGCUCAGGUGGUUAGAGCGCACCCCUGAUAAGGGUGAGGUCCCUGGUUCAAGUCCAGGAUGGCCCAUAUCUCUAUAUUGGGGGUAUAGCUCAGUUGGUAGAGCGCCUGCUUUGCAAGCAGGAUGUCAGCGGUUCGAGUCCGCUUACCUCCACUGAAUACCACCUUUCCAAAGAGAAGGAAUAUAUGGGAUAGAUUUUACUCUGACUGAAUCUAGCUUCCUAUUAUUUAAUUAAUUAUUUAAUAAGAUGCUGGACUCAAUGAAUUUUAAAAUUCUUUGUUUUCAGAGAACCUUGACAACUGCAUAGAUUUUUUUUCAAGACAAUAAGCACCUUUGUAAAGAUGCAGAUUUAUUAUUGGUGCUAAUGCAUUAAUAACAAUUCUAUUGAGCUGAUGCUUCAAUUUUUGAAGUUAUUGGUCAAGCUACAAAGGGCUCACGGAGGAUACCUAGGCACACAGAGGCGAUGAAGG